GACGAACGCUGGCGGCGUGCUUAACACAUGCAAGUCGAACGGAAAGGCCCUGCUUUUGUGGGGUGCUCGAGUGGCGAACGGGUGAGUAACACGUGAGUAACCUGCCCUUGACUUUGGGAUAACUUCAGGAAACUGGGGCUAAUACCGGAUAUGAGCUCCUGCUGCAUGGUGGGGGUUGGAAAGUUUCGGCGGUUGGGGAUGGACUCGCGGCUUAUAAGCUUGUUGGUGGGGUAGUGGCUUACCAAGGCUUUGACGGGUAGCCGGCCUGAGAGGGCGAACGGCCACAUUGGGACUGAGAUACGGCCCAGAAUCGUACGGGAGGCAGCGGUGGCGAAUAUUAUACAAUGGGCGGCAGCCUGGUGCAGCAACGCCGCGUGCGGGAUGACGGCCUUCGGGUUGUGAACAGCUUUCGCAUGUGACGAAGCGUCAGUGACGGUAAUGGGUACAGAAGCACCGGCUAACUACGUG
Molecule: ribosomal RNA, 468 nt
Filed under: uncultured bacterium
Lineage: Bacteria
Description: partial 16S ribosomal RNA
Rfam family: Bacterial small subunit ribosomal RNA
Source: RNAcentral